GUGAAUCAUCAAAUCUUUGAACGCAAAUUGCACUCUCUUCUAAGAUUAUGCCUGUUUGAGGGUCGGCCUAAAAAAAAUCGACAUAGUCGCUGUUUCGCGGUGUCAUUCGUCAGACAUUGGGUCGUCUUCAAACUUUGAGUUUUAAGCGGCUUAAAAUUUUCUUUACGAGUCCACGAACUUUUCUAAGAUUUACUUCUUCCCCCUUUAA
RNAcentral lists this unclassified non-coding RNA (208 nucleotides) under Glomus sp. Its description in RNAcentral is "partial contains 5.8S ribosomal RNA and internal transcribed spacer 2". The record is from RNAcentral. Lineage: Eukaryota; Fungi; Glomeromycota; Glomeromycetes; Glomerales; Glomeraceae.